RNAcentral lists this ribosomal RNA (784 nucleotides) under uncultured Pseudomonas sp. Its description in RNAcentral is "bacterial SSU rRNA". It matches the Rfam family "Bacterial small subunit ribosomal RNA", at positions 1 to 784 of the family's 1533-position model. The record is from RNAcentral. Lineage: Bacteria; Pseudomonadati; Pseudomonadota; Gammaproteobacteria; Pseudomonadales; Pseudomonadaceae.
GAUUGAGUUUGAUCCUGGCUCAGAUUGAACGCUGGCGGCAGGCCUAACACAUGCAAGUCGAGCGGUAGAGAGAAGCUUGCUUCUCUUGAGAGCGGCGGACGGGUGAGUAAUGCCUAGGAAUCUGCCUAGUGGUGGGGGAUAACGUUCGGAAACGGACGCUAAUACCGCAUACGUCCUACGGGAGAAAGCGGGGGACCUUCGGGCCUCGCGCCAUUAGAUGAGCCUAGGUCGGAUUAGCUAGUUGGUGAGGUAAUGGCUCACCAAGGCGACGAUCCGUAACUGGUCUGAGAGGAUGAUCAGUCACACUGGAACUGAGACACGGUCCAGACUCCUACGGGAGGCAGCAGUGGGGAAUAUUGGACAAUGGGCGAAAGCCUGAUCCAGCCAUGCCGCGUGUGUGAAGAAGGUCUUCGGAUUGUAAAGCACUUUAAGUUGGGAGGAAGGGUAGUAACUUAAUACGUUACUACUUUGACGUUACCGACAGAAUAAGCACCGGCUAACUUCGUGCCAGCAGCCGCGGUAAUACGAAGGGUGCAAGCGUUAAUCGGAAUUACUGGGCGUAAAGCGCGCGUAGGUGGUUCAGUAAGUUGGAAGUGAAAUCCCCGGGCUCAACCUGGGAACUGCUUUCAAAACUGCUGAGCUAGAGUACGGUAGAGGGUGGUGGAAUUUCCUGUGUAGCGGUGAAAUGCGUAGAUAUAGGAAGGAACACCAGUGGCGAAGGCGACCACCUGGACUGAUACUGACACUGAGGUGCGAAAGCGUGGGGAGCAAACAGGAUUAGAUA